UGUCAGGCUCAGAGCUGGGAGAGCUGGGUUCGAAUCCCUGCCACUCAGCCAUGAAGCUCACUGGUGCUCUGAGUGCCCACUCUGGCACAGUGCCAUAGGUUCACCACCACUGCUCUAGAGCAAUUGCCUUCAAUGGCUUGAAAUAAGAACCAAGAGUAACCACUAUUUAAAAACGUGACCAACGGGGGUGGAGGGGGCUGUGCAGAGAGGGGGCUGCUAUCCCUGAAAGGCUCUGGCUGCCUUUCUUGAAAAUGCUCUGGCCAUGUCAAGUUGAUUUCCCAAGGCGGCUGGCUUUGCACCAAAAGCAAUGUGUAAUCACAUCUGGCUUUCUUCCUGCCUCACCCAAAAGCAACUUCCCGUGUUCGUCUCAGCCUACAUGGCUUAAAAGCCGUGCUCAGUUUUUCUCCCUCUUGCAGUGAUACGGAUUCACAUGACUCUGCAACAAAGCUGUUUACCAAACCAAAGAAGCCUAGAAGAGUGUAGAAUGUGGCCUUGGGGGAAGGAAGACCCCUCUGUGCGUGUGUGUGAGUCUGACACUGUGGAAAAAGGGGGGUCAUGUUUCCUAGAAGUGAUGAACAGGAACUAGGAGCCACUAUGUAAGAUGAGCCCAAUAUUUGGAUCUGGC
Non-coding RNA from Podarcis lilfordi (Lilford's wall lizard), 625 nucleotides. The record is from the annotation of a GenBank genome assembly. Lineage: Eukaryota; Metazoa; Chordata; Lepidosauria; Squamata; Lacertidae.